CCUACGGGGGGCAGCAGUGGGGAAUAUUGCACAAUGGGCGCAAGCCUGAUGCAGCCAUGCCGCGUGUAUGAAGAAGGCCUUCGGGUUGUAAAGUACUUUCAGCGGGGAGGAAGGUGUUGUGGUUAAUAACCACAGCAAUUGACGUUACCCGCAGAAGAAGCACCGGCUAACUCCGUGCCAGCAGCCGCGGUAAUACGGAGGGUGCAAGCGUUAAUCGGAAUUACUGGGCGUAAAGCGCACGCAGGCGGUUGAUUAAGUCAGAUGUGAAAUCCCCGGGCUC
RNAcentral lists this ribosomal RNA (280 nucleotides) under uncultured bacterium. RNAcentral describes it as "partial 16S ribosomal RNA". It matches the Rfam family "Bacterial small subunit ribosomal RNA", at positions 338 to 610 of the family's 1533-position model. The record is from RNAcentral.